AAGGAAUAUUGGUCAAUGGACGCAAGUCUGAACCAGCCAUGCCGCGUGAAGGAUGAAGGUCCUCUGGAUUGUAAACUUCUUUUAUCUGGGACGAAAACGGGAUUUUUAUCUCAAUUGACGGUACCAGAGGAAUAAGCACCGGCUAACUCCGUGCCAGCAGCCGCGGUAAUACGGAGGGUGCGAGCGUUAUCCGGAUUUACUGGGUUUAAAGGGUGCGUAGGUGGGCUUAUAAGUCAGUGGUGAAAUCUCCGAGCUUAACUUGGAAACUGCCGUUGAUACUAUAGGUCUUGAAUUAUCUGGAGGUUAGCGGAAUAUGUCAUGUGGCGGUGAAAUGCUUAGAUAUGACAUAGAACACCAAUUGCGAAGGCAGCUUACUACAUAUAAAUUGACGCUGAGGCACGAAAGCGUGGGGAUCAAACA
This 420-nucleotide ribosomal RNA is filed under the name uncultured bacterium. RNAcentral's name for it is "bacterial SSU rRNA". It matches the Rfam family "Bacterial small subunit ribosomal RNA", at positions 356 to 774 of the family's 1533-position model. The record is from RNAcentral.